Molecule: ribosomal RNA, 210 nt
Filed under: uncultured bacterium
Lineage: Bacteria
Description: partial 16S ribosomal RNA
Rfam family: Bacterial small subunit ribosomal RNA
Source: RNAcentral
GUUCGGAUUGCAGCCUGCAACUCGGCUGCAUGAAGCUGGAAUCGCUAGUAAUCGCGGAUCAGAAUGCCGCGGUGAAUACGUUCCCGGGUCUUGUACACACCGCCCGUCACACCAUGGGAGCCGGAAACGCCCGAAGCCAGCGGCCCAACCGCAAGGGGGGAGCUGUCGAAGGCGGGUCCGGUGACCGAGGUGAAGUCGUAACAAGGUACC